Non-coding RNA from Pelobates cultripes (western spadefoot toad), 760 nucleotides. NCBI's taxonomy places the organism in Eukaryota, Metazoa, Chordata, Amphibia, Anura, Pelobatidae. The record is from the annotation of a GenBank genome assembly.
CGAAGUCCUUCUAAAAGAUAGGAAUGACCUUUUUAUUCCCAAUGGUGGAAGAAAGGAAAAUUGUAUAGACCAAAUACCUUUUAUUUGCGAUUUUAACUGUAAACAUAAGGAAAUUAAAAGAGCUUUUAAUAAAUACUGGCCGAUACUAACUAAAGAUCCAGUUUUAAGCUCUAUACUCCCUGAUAAACCCAACAUUAUUUAUAGAGGAGUAUCUAACCUUAAGAACAAAUUAGUUCACAGCCAUCUACAAAAGAAAAGAGUCUCAUUUAAUACAUUUAAUGAGGAGGGUGGUUUUUAUGGCUGUGGGAACUGUGGGGCAUGCUCCAAUACAAAUAAUAAGAAAAGACAUAUUAAAGAGUUUCCACAUCUAGAUAAAGAGAGAUUUGAAAUUAAACAACUAAUAACUUGUUAUUCUAAAAGAGUAAUAUAUAUUAUUAUUUGUACAUGUGGACUAUUAUAUGUUGGACGAACGACACGAGCACUACAUGUGAGGAUCCAGGAGCAUGUUAGGAAUAUAAAAUGAAGGUUUGAAAAACAUAGCCUUUCAUAUCACUUUAAGAUCAAACAUGAAAUGGAUCCGACCCAACUUUCUUUUCUGGGAAUACAACAGGUUACAACUAACUGGAGAGGGGAGGAGCUCAUAACAGCAAUGGGGAAGGCUGAGAUGAGGUGGAUUUUUAACCUUAAUUCCCUUACUCCAUUUGGACUCAAUGCUGAUUUUGAAUUGUGUCUUUUUUUUAUAAUACAUAUUUUAAUUAUC